AUUUAUAAAAUCUAAUUUCCUCAUUGUACCUGAUGAUCUAAAAAUCACAAACUGUAUCAGUUCUUGAAUUACAUAAGAACUAUCGUAGACGUAUUCAAAAGCAAUAACACAACAUAUUUUGACACAAAAGAAAUCAAAAUUUUAAACUUAGUUUCUGUAGGAACAUUAUAGUACAUCCACGACCAAUUUCUCAAAUUCAAUCAGAACGCUCAUAGGUAAACUCACUAGAAAAGCAAUAUAUGCAACAUAUUACAAACCAUAAAUUCCGAUGACAUGUAAUACCUAAACUAAUUCUCUCUGGGGAAAUUCAUCAAACAUGAAAGAGGCAUCAGCAAUUACCUCUUUGAUGGAUUUCUCGUGCUCUUCACGAAUUCAACCACCAGAAUCACUUGGCUCACUCAAAAACCCAUCACAACCUCCCCUUCCUCGUCCUAUUCGUCGUCUUCCACGAAAUGCGGUCCAAUGGAGACGUGAGAAACGGGGUUUUAAAGAAGCCGCUGCUCGCGCCAUUGAUCUGAGAGGGAGGAGGAAGCGAGGAGCGAGGAAGAAGACGUCGGGACGAGGAGGGACGCUGGUGGCCUCGUCCAUUUGGAAGCGGACGAAACCCUAACCCUAGGGAGCUCCGCCGCGCCUCGGUCGCUACGAAUCCGAUCUUUUCUCUCGUCUUUUUUUUAGUGUUCUCCGGUUCUCCCAGAAAAUCAAAAAAUAAAAGAAAAAAAAGGAGCACCGGCAACUCCGUAUUUGAUCUUAAACAUGAAACACGCUGUGGAGCCAAUUGGAAGCAGACACGUGUCAAAUUUGUGAUUGCAGUUUGGAUCAAGUGGAUUUUUUUUGGGCGUCCGCAUUAACGGUCGGCAACGGUAAACUACCGUACGGUCCGUUCACUUGUCCAAAAUUCCAAAUGUCUCUCAUUAACAUAUAGAGAACAAAAAAUAUUAUAAGAAAAUCAUAGGAAUGUUCCAAAAUUUAAGUCAUUUUUUGAAUAUGUCAAUGAGCUAGCUUAAUUUGGCAUAGGUGAUUGUCGUUUAUUACUUCAGAUCUAAAUCCGUCUAUUAAAUAUCAUAUUUCUAAUUUUAAUAAAAGUAAUAAAUUUGUGUUUAAGAAAAGCCUCCAAUUUAGUUGGUGCAUUUGUGAAGUUUCAUUUGAAGAGAGAUCUUUCAAAAAGUAAAACAAAAAAAUUUUGACUUGUAAUCUUCCUAACGAAGGAGAGAGUGAGUGUCAACCAUCAUAUCGUAAUUUAUGCAAAUCUCAAAGCAUGUUACAUAAGAUAGUAUGUCCAUUCUCCUUUUUAGUAAGGCUUCCACUGAAGCUCGCAAUAGCAAUAUUUUUACAAACUUUAUGAUAAUUUAUGUGCUAAGAAUUAAAUAUCUAAAAUAAUAUUUCAAUUUGUUUGUCAAAGUAUAAUAUUUUCUAGCUUAUGAUUCCUAAUUUGGUUUUUUAUUAUUAAUUAUCUUUGAGUUGUUAUUAUUAUUAUUAUUAUUUCUUUUUUCUUUUUUUCGUCUUUGCCCUGUUUUUCAUCUCUCUAGAGGCCUUGUUGCCUCACCCAUAUAGUUAAGUUUAUCUCCUGAAUGAAUGAAGCGGGUAGCGUGCUAUCUUUUUCUAAAAAAAAAAAAAUAUUGAGCGUGCAAUAACAAACAUACCUCAUUGACUCAGUGUAAAUUAGAGUAAUGAUCAAUUAAUGUUAGGAAGUAAUUAAUUAAAAUUAGGCUAAGUUUAUAAGUUUAAACAAUGUUUUUAUGGAAGAUUUUAAUGAAAAAUCAAAAGUUAAUUGGCAGUCAAAAGCUUUACAUAGUAAGAUAGUAUUAAGGGAGCAAUGCAAUAGGGGUUUUAAUUUCCCUGUGAUGUGUUUUGGAGGUUAUAAACUUUAAGCGCUUUUGUUCAACAAAAAUAAGAAAAAAAAGGUACCUGCUAAGAGUAAAUAUAACUCUUUUUUUGAGUGAUUUUUUCUUUUUUCUGUGUGGUACUUUUGUUCCAGUAUUAGUACGGCGGAUUAGCCUAAUACGGCGGAUUAGCCUACGAUUGUAUAUGAAAUGUUGUCCUUUCCCAAGCUUUUAUCUUCUUAAUCAUCUUUUAAUGAACACGGGUUAUUAUUGCACUUAGCUCUAUGAACAUUGUGCCUGCAAUACACCGUAUACACACAAAAAGCCAAAGCAAUUUUGUUUUACAUGCAAAUUGAAAACUACUAAGGACUCAUUUGAUAUUGAGACUCAUGUAAUACUACUAACAGACAAAAUAAAGUUGAAAAAAAUAUAUAAAAAAUAUACUUUUGUAUUUUUCGAUAAAAUAAUAGAAAAUAUAUUGUAAAAGACUUAUUAAAAUAUACAAAAACAAAUAAAAUAUUUUUUCAUCGCACUUUCUCAUCUCACGUAACAUAAUGUCUCCACAAUUCUAAACGAAGUCUAAAUCAUUAGGCACCUACACAAUUUUUUAAAAAAAAUCGAGAUUGUGUUGAAUUUCUAAAAUUAAUAGAAACUUUUUAUAGCAUAUUAUAAGUGCUUUGGUAGGAAUAAACUCAGGAUUUCGAGCUCUACUAUAUUGGCUUGAACUAAUUAAAGUACAUCUUAUAAUAUGCUAUAAAAAGUUUCUAUUAAUUUUAGAAAUUCAACACAAUCUCGAUUUUUUUUAAAAAAUUGUGUAGGUGCCUAAUGAUUUAGANCGAGCUCUACUAUAUUGGCUUGAACUAAUUAAAGUACAUCUUAUCUCUGUUUAGGACUUUUUUUUUUUUUGAGAAUAAGUUAGCACGCUACCUCUUUCAUUCAUUGAUAAAAAUAAACUUAGCUACAUAUGUGAGGCAACUAGGCCAACAAAAGAGCAAAAGAAAAGGCAAAAGGGAAAAAAGAAAAAAAAGAAAAAAAAGAGGGGGUUAAAUAGGGAUAUAUAUUAAAAAAAAGAAGAAGUUAAGUCGGGUGAUAGAAAAACAUUUUUCAGUAUCUCACAAGAUACUUGAUCUUCGCGAUGAUUGUCACAGGAUCUGAGCUAUGCUUUUUAAAAAUAAUAUUGCUUCUUUCCGGCCAGAAUAUCCACCAAAUUACAGCCAGAGUGUUCAGGUUCACCACUUAGGACUUGUUUCAUAAAGAAAAUGCAUGAAGACCCUUUCGACUAUAAGCCAUUCUAAAAUAGACUAGUUUAACUUAAAAUCAAAAAUGAGAAAUGCAAGUCUCAGUCCUUUCUUUUUAAUGUCUUUCUGAAUAAAGAGAUCUAUUUUUUUUCAGCAUUACUGUAGACCUAAAGAGCAAUCUGUUUAAUCGGACACAACUAUUGAAUUGAUUCAUAGCAUUUUAAAUGGACAUCAACCAUAUGUAUAUUUAUACUAAAUGAAAGAUUAGAUAGAAAAUAUUUGCUCAAGUUAGGCCAGAUCAGAGUCAUCAGACCAGAUAGAUCCAAUUUGCUCAACCCCAAAAUAUUUAGUUGGUCUUCUUAUAGCUAUAUCUAAAUCGUCAAACUUUAGGUUCGAAUCAAAUUCGCUUUAUUGCCGAGUCAGGAUCAAAUCUGAACCCAAUAAUAGGGCACAAUCAAGAAUUUAAGUACAGUACCGCUGAAUCGUACCGAAAAUCUAUCGGUACGGUACAAUAUGGUGCGUGUCAGACAGUGCCGAUAUGUGUCGGCCACAAAAAAUUCAUGUGUACCGACACAUAAUAGUAUAAAAUAUUUUUUUUAUUAACAAUAAAAUAUUUUAACAAUUUAUUAUAUAUUAUUAUCAAUUUUUUUGAAUUUUAUUAAAAAAAUUAUUUAUUAUUCUGAAUAAUAUUUUGAACUAUGUCACUAACACUAGAACUGAAUUAUAUCGAUGUCUUAUUAUCACUAUAAGGUGCAGUAGAUAGGGCCAAAAUCUUGGGCCAUCUCUAUUAAUAAUGAAAAAUUGCAUUUUAAAGAUUUGGUCCUCUGUGCAUUUGAAAGCUGCCACGUGUCCUCCAUAGUCAACACUCAACAGCAUCUAUCUAGAGGGUCCACGGUCAAUAGAAUCAUUAAGUGCGACCACGGCUAUGGCACUCAAUCAAAUCUUUUUCGUGAUCUCCUCUCCUUACCCCGUUUUUAGCCGUCCGAUCAUUCACCCGUUAGAAUGGGACGGCUCUCCUCUCAACAGACCCGGGAAGCGCUCCGUUUCCUGCGCCACAAUUUUUUCGCUAUGACCAACUAAUAUGACAUGACACAAGAAAUGUAGCUAUAAAAUAUUAAAUUGGUAAUAUUAUUAAUAAAUUUUAUUUUUAUAUCAACAGAUAAAUUUAUUAAAUUUUAUUAAAUUCAAUAAAUAUGGUGCGCCUAUGGUAACAAUGACUACUCCAAGUCUCCAAUACGACUUUCUUAAUUAACUCAUAUGCACAUAAAGUUGCAGCUUUUUCCGUAAUUUGCCCACACAAAAAUUAUAAUAUUUAAUUUAUAAAGUUGUAAAUUUUUGGAGGAUAAAAAUUUAAAGCAAAACUAGUAUAGAGGAUGAACCAUGUGAGAGUCCUAUAAACUUUAGAAAAAAUGAUUGGCCAAAUAUAAACAACAAAUUUUCUUUGUCACGUCAUUUACGAACAAAGCUAUUACAUGAGAAUAGUAUUACUUGAUUUAGGCAUUUUGCUGAUCUGCGUAAUUUAGUGAUCUUUUUUUAUUUAAAAUUAUUUGUUAAAGCUGUGGAUUUAGAAAAGGCCCGAUAAAAAAGAAUAAGAUUUUCCUUUUUUUAUUGAGUGCCAUUUGGAGAAGUAAGGUAGUUAAAGUGCAAGAAAAAGUAUUACUUACUGAAAAAAAUAAUAAUAAUAAAAUAAAAUCUUUAAAACGUGACAAUAAACGAAAUCACCUUGAAGGAGCAAAUGAUGUGGACCAAAACGUUUAUUAUAUUAUUAUAUAGAGCACGUGGAUGCGUAUCAUUUUUAAUUAAUUAAUUAAUUUCUUCGUACGUUCCAGAAACUCAACGGUCAAAUUCAACACAUACCACUGCUCGUCAACAUUACCAAUAUAUAUAUAUAUAUAUAUAUAUAUAUAGAAUUAGGCUACUAUACUAACAAUAGUACCGAGCUCCGGUAUUAUAGUGUUUGUUUUCGAUCUUAAAGCGUUCAAAUCAACGAUCCACACCGUUAAAUAUGAUCUAAGGUGUAUAAAUGUCUUAGAAAUAAAAUUUUAGUUUUUUUCGAUAUCGUUUACUUAGUAAAUAAAUUAUAUCAAAAUGGACGGUGCAAAUUGAAUAAUCUUUAAAAUUUGAGUAUAGGACUUUUAAAUUCAAGAUCAAGAAUGUUAACCUUAAUCUAUAUAAUUUAAAAUAUUUUCUAUCAAAAUUUGAAGAAAUUUAGAUUCUUCUACACCGUUAAACUCCAAACUUGUCAUAAUAACCAUUGAAAAUUGAUAAUUUUGAAAUAGUUUGAUCAUAAAAUGAACAACAUCAAAAAAAUAUAAAAUUUUAUUUCUAGAAACUUUAAAUACCCUAGAUCAGUUUUAACGGUGUGGAUCAUUGAUUUGAACGCCCUAAGAUCGAAAACCAACACUAUAGUACUGGAGCUCGGUACUAUAGAUAAUAUAGUAGCCUAGCUAUAUAUAUAUAUAUAUAUAUAUAUCACUCAUUCGUUUUCACCUGUUCGACCUGUCCAUCUUAUAACCAUCCGAUCAGUAAGCAUUUCGUAUUGUAUUGAUUCUCUAUUCUUCUAACUAACUUAGAAAAUCCACCUCCUCCAAAAGUGACAAAAUUCUCACGGAACUCCCUCCGAUCGAGAGCGACAUAAUUGUCGCAGACUACUCAAUAAUUUUACUUGCAAAGCCCGUGACAUAAUGCUUCUAAUAUUUUCACACUUAUCUUAAUCUCAAAAUAUAAAAUAAUAUCGUAAAUACUUUUUACGGAUUUAUCAUCAAAGAAAUAAUUAUUGCCAGAUACAUCUCCAUUCCAUGUUAAUUCCGGAAGGUUCUCAUCCGCAAUUCAGUAACGUUGCAUAAUAUAGGCUAUAAAAUACUAGAAUUUUUUUUUUUUUUUCGUGAAGGUAAUAGAACAUCAAAGCAGUUGAUAGACGCAAGAAGGAUGUACCAAGCACCAUAAUUAGCAUGCUGUUCGUUAAUAGUUGCUGCUAAAGUAUUUCAAUUGUUCUAUAUUAAACACACUCUAAAACGUCGAACGAAAAAAAACAAAGUGUAUGCGUCAUAUAAGUGUUAAACUAAAGGAGAUAACCUCUGUGCUACCAUGCAUGUUCUUUUGUCUUCGCUCCAGCUUUGGAACACCAACUUCGUUCUAAUCGCAACUACUAGCUCUUAUAAUUGUUUUAGAACAAGAAUAUAUAAUUGUACAUAUAAACCGGAUAAGUUAAAUUAUACAUGUGGUCUACAGUGGUUAUGACAUAUACAAUUUUAGUCAAACAUAUCAUUACAAUAAUCACGGACGAAUCAUGAUACAACAACAGAGAGAAGAGUUGGAUUAGAAUACAUAGAAUUAGUGCGUCGGCUAAUUAACUUCUCACCUAAUUUUGAACGUGAGUUUUGAGUACACAAAGUGAUGGAUAAAUUGUUAGAAUUAAGGAAACUGUCUAAAAUAAGUCAUAAGCCCGUAUAUAGAAACCCAAUUAUCGCUUACUCCAUUUACCACGUGCCAAUUCGUUUGGAAACACUGAAUCAUGUAUCAUUCCAUCGAAGUGAGUGACGCAUUAAUUAAGCACCUCGUGUGUUACAACAUACGAAGGCUACUCUGUAUUGUUAUGCCGUGUAAAUAAUACAAGAGUGUGUUCGGUUCAUGAUUGGAGUAAAGAUAACAAAUAAAAUUAAAUUGUACUGGAAUAAGAGAAAUUAUAAAUUAUUUAAAAAUAUUUGAUUUAUUAUUGAAAUAAAAAUCGGAAUAGAUUGGGACAUUCAAGAUAUUAAGAGAAAAUUUUGAUUAAGAAAAAAAAAUAAUAAAGAAAGAGAAGAUCAAAAGAAAUGAUGAAUAUAUAAAAUAGAUGAAUCAAAUAAAUCUUAAAAUGUUUACGGACUAUUCAUCUUAAAAAAGAUAAGAAAAAAGAAAAAUAAAAUCUCAGAGUGUUGAACAAAAAUUCAAGCUUGUCAAUUGGAGAUAAAUGCAAAAAUCUGUCCGAGUAAAAUGAUUAUUAUAAUUUAUAAAUAUGGCCGGACCCACACUUAAGUACUUAACCCCACCCAAAGGCGAAAGGGACCCGCUUCUAGAAGAGGCUCCUUAUCUUUUCCUCUCUCGCACCCAAUCACAGCCCACCGUGCUGCUUCCCCGAAAUCGGCGCGUAAACCAACGGCUCUCCUUUCUCCAACCCGACCCGCUACAAAAAAACCAAAAAAAAAAAAAAAAAAAAAAGUAAAAAAACACCCAUGGUCAAAACCACAGAUUAACAUCAUUUACCACAUUGUCUAGUAANAAAAAAAAAAAAAAAAAAAAAUCCUCGAAUGCUUACGUGUCACGCCUCGGUGGCGACCUCAUCUCCGACGUCAUCACCAAUGAUCAACCCACUCCCCCCCCCCUCUCCACGUGCUCCGAGUUUUUUUUUUUUUUUUUAAUUUUCUCGUCACCGAAUAAUCAGAUAAUCCCCAAAUAUUCAUAUUUAUUACGUCAUCCGAAGGGAAAUGGUUCAAUUUUUGUCACGUGCUCCGUGGCGAGGAAACUUCACCGAAGCUCCAACCCGUCUCUGAUAUAAAUCCCUUCGCCCUCUUUCUCUCUCCUCCCCCCAACCCACCCCCACCCCAAAAAUCCACUCGACUUUGAGCUCCGCGAUUCUCCCUCCGCUUAUUCUCACCGGGGGAGGUGACCGUAAGCGCGACGAUGGACCCCGAGUUUCUCGUCGAGAGCAUCCGCCGCCACCUCCUCGACGAUCCCGAGGAGGUCCCGUCACCUGCUGCUGCUGCUGCUGCUGCGGCGGCGGGGGCGGUAAGCGUACCGCAGGGGCCCCGCGCGUACGCGCGGAGCUCCAGCUUCGGGAGCCUCGUCGCGGAUCAGUGGAGCGACCUCCCCUUCCGCGCCGACGACGCCGACGACAUGGUCGUGUACGGCGCCCUCCGCGACGCGUUCUCCCUCGGGUGGCUCCCCGUCGACGGCGCCCCCGCGCCGGAGGAGGCGGCGGAGGCGCCGCCGANNNNNNNNNNNNNNNNNGAGGCGGCGGAGGCGCCGCCGACGCGGGCUCCGGCUUCGGCGGCGGCGGCGGGGGUGGCGAGGGGGAAGCACUACAGAGGGGUGAGGCAGAGGCCGUGGGGGAAGUACGCGGCGGAGAUUAGGGAUCCGGCGAGGAACGGGGCGAGGGUUUGGCUGGGGACGUUCGAGACCGCGGAGGAGGCCGCGCUCGCGUACGACCGCGCCGCGUACCGGAUGCGCGGCUCGCGCGCGCUCCUCAACUUCCCCCUCCAGAUCGGCUCCGAGCAAGCCGCCGCCGCCGCCGCCUCUCCGGCGCCGGCGAAGCGCCCCUCGCCGGAACCCUCGUCGUCGCCCUCCUCGUCGUCGACCUCGUCGUCGUCGUCGCCGAAGAGGAGAAGGAAGAGAGGGGAAGCGGCGUCCGUGGCGGCGGCUCCGGCUCCGGCUCCGGCUCAGAGUUCGAUCCCGGUUCAGACGCAGACCGGGUUGGUAUUCGCGACCGGACCGGAGGUAAAUUUCCCGGUCGGGCCGCUGACACGUGUCGGUCAGCUUUUGGUUAGUUGAGUGGCAUCGGAUUAGAAAGUGAGCGAUUUUCCUUCUAAAGGUCAAAAGAUGGAAAGGGCGAGGAAAAGUCAAACGAAAGAAGCAAAAUACCCUUUUAUAUUAGAGCAGCAAGGAUGAGAAAGAUAAUUUUGUCACACAUCUUGAAAAGAUGCACUCUUUUUGUGAUAUCUAUGAUUAAAAAUAAAUGUAUAUAUAUAUAUUUUAAAAAAAAAAUUUGUGUCCGAGAUACAUACUUUGCAGCAUCGCUAUUGAAAAAUCUAAAAGCAUUUAUUGGAUGAAAGAAGAAACGACAAAAUGAACACAAUUGCAUGAUUCAGCAUCCGAUAAGCGCGCAUUGGAACACUUAUUUGUCAAUAAAGUUUUUGCUUUCAGAAGAGGUUGGGUCCCCCACUUUUUUUGAAUCUUUAGGAUUUGAAGUGAUUGGCUUUAGAGAUAUUAUGUUUUACUCUUUGAUGAAAUUAAUUUUCUAUAUUGUAAGGUGGUUUUAAAAAUGAGAGUCCUAUAUACCGAACACUGUGAUGGAGAAUGCAUUUAUCAACAUUUAAUGAGGCCAUUAUUGUUCUUAGAACACUACAACUAGCCUAGCGUGGAUUAUGUAAGCAUCAAAAUUGCAUUACCCACUAAAUCAUUGUUAAAUACGUGGCCACGUAACCUAAUCCCAAUAAUGAUUAUACUAAUAAAUUAGCCUUUGACUAAUGUUGCGCUCAUCAUAAAUUUGAGGGUAAUUAAUUGCUUUCACCACUUCCCUCAUAAUAUCUCUUGUCAUCUGCUCUUUCUUCGUCACGUUCCAUGUGCAUCAUAGUAUUAAAUUAUCCAAACAAGCAAGCUACUUUGUGAACUAGUUACUAAUUUAUUAUACAAUUAUUUGUACUUGAUUAAAAUUUAUAAAUUGAGGGUUAAUUACUAGUGCACGCCUACAAGCUAUUAAACAUUGUUUUUUGGGUUACUUUUGUAGGUACGAAUUAGUUAUUACUGGUGGAGGUAUAUAGAUCAUUUAAUUCACUAACUAGUGGUAAAAUUUGCUAACUUAACAGUAGCGGUAAUUUUUUUUUAAAUAUGUUACCCACUUUGUUUAUUUUUUUAAAAAUAAACUCAACUAGAAGGCUUUUGAACUUUGGAUCUUGGAUACCAACCAUCAAAUUCUUUGUUACUUACGCUAGGGACGGUCAGUAAUAGUAGCGGUAUUUCUACAAAGCUUUAUAUGGUUAGAAGGGUAAACUUGAUGCUUUAAAUUUUAUAAGUUUAAUUUACUAACUUAUUGUUUUUUUUUUAGAAAUAAACUAAGUUGGAAAUACGAAACAAUUAGGCUUUAAAUUUGGAAUCUUGGAUAUCAAUCAUUAAACCUUUUGCCACUUACAUUAGGGCCGGUCGGUAAAAGUAGUGGUAUUUCUACAAAGUUUUAUAUGGAUAUAAGGGUAAACUUGAUGCUUUAAAAUUUAUAAGGAUAUGCAAGCCAUUUCUCUAUUUUUGAAGGAAUAUACCGGUAAUUAACCCUUUUUCAAUUAGUCCCUAUUUGAUUGGAAAUAUCAUUAAUCAUGAGGUUCAUUCCAGUCAAAUUUUGAACUAUUUUUGGUGUUAUGAGGUCCCCAUCACUAAAGAAAAGAAUACCAAAGAAUCUUUGCCAUUUCACUCAUCAUUUCCUCUCAAAGCACUCUCUUUUUUUUCUCAAGAAAUUAAACAAAAAAAACCUCUUCUACAAUUAUCCAAUCUAAAAAAAUUACUUAUUCCAUGCUAUAGUGUAAUUCAACAUGAUUUUACCGCAAGACUUAACACACUAAUGUAACAAAAAAUAAAAAGGGAAAAGAAAAGAAAGGAUAAUGAUUAGAUAUCGUAAGCUAUUUAUCUUUCUCUCAAAUGGCGUUAGCUGUUUAUAAUAUUUUCUACCAAAUAUCUAUUACAGAGAGGGUUUUAUUGUCUUUGUGUCGCACAAGGGGGAGGAAUGAGAAAGGUAAGCGCAAACCAUGUGCAAUCAAUUCCAUGCUUUUAAUACAAUCAAUUCCAUGCUUUCAAUUUAAAUCACAACCUCUUUUGGACUUUCCAAGCCAAGUAUUCAAAGAAUCAGCAUUUACUAUAAAACCCUAAAACUGUGGUCAAUUAUGUGGCUGAGAACUUCACAAGUCCUUGCUUAUAUCAUGCGAGUUGGUGGAACUCGUUGAAUAUUCGAAAAGAAGAUUCUAAUCUAUUACUGCUAAUUUGUCAUCAUCGACCCCCAAUUCAAUCCCGUUGUGCCCACCAUGUACUACUAAACUCCUCUAGCUUGAGAAUCACGGCCGUCUGAUCGAAUUCCGAUGGCUCUUAGGAUGUAGUUCGAGAUCGAAGCCUUUGAUCACCUAUAAUUCCAUUGUUAUUGUUAAGACGCGACUACAGAAAAUCUAUAAAGCAACAAAAAAAAAAAACUGAAGCGCAAACCCGCAUGGAAAAAGAUAACACGUUAUACAGGAUUAACAAACAAUACUAGAUCGCCUAUAAUCUAAUUGCUUCAGAAUAUAGUAUUUCUAUGUUUGGGUCAUAUACAGUAGUAUAAUGUCAAAAUACAAGCGAUAUUAAAUAUAGCGAUAAAAACAUUGAGCUUCUUCCAAGUGAGCUUUAAAUGAACCAAGUGGGCCCAAAAGGCCAGCCCACCUAUACUCCCAUAUAUGGCCCAUUACUCAUCUCUUCUCUUCUCACUGAAGAGUAAAGAGCCCUCAAACCGGAAUGACACGUGGCACUGCAUGCGAUACUUCUCACUCCCAUGCCAAAAGUUUGGUACUUUUAGGGGCUGUUUGGUUGGAUGUAGUUGCAGAAACAGUAUAGUUGAAAAUACAUGCAGUUGCAAAUGCUGCAGUUGUAACUACACCUAGUCUGUUUAGUUUUACGCAGUUGCAACUGCUGCAGUUGCAUUUCUUCUGUUUGGUAAUAUGAAGCUGAUAGUUGUAUUUGUGAAUUUUAUCACCUUUUCAGAUAGAGUGGUGAGAUUACCUUCACUAAACAUAAAAUAAUUGUAUAAGUUUAUUAAUCAUUUAAAUUUACUAUUUAUAAAUAAAUAAGUAGAUAUAUAUAAUAUUCUUCAACUUAAAAUUUACACAGCUAAUUAUUCAACUUCUUAAUAACUUUUCAAANNNNNNNNNNNNNNNNNNNAUACAUAUAUCCAUUUAUUUUUAUGAACAUUUAUUUGAGUAUGAUUAUUUUAAAAAAUCCGUUAUGUUCGAAACACGUUUUUUAAUUACAGUACGGGGCCUAAUGAGCAAAGGGGCCCGAGCGAUUGUCUGGGCGGCAAAUGUAUCCAUAAAGGAGACAUAUGCUUUAUUAUUUAUUUAUUUAGCUAUUUAUUUAUUUAUUUAUUAUUGUUAAUUUGUGGGUGAUCCUAUCCCUCACCAACUACUGCAGUUGGAACUACGGUCAAUUUGGAUGUAGUUUCAAUUGCAGCAUUUGGACCUUCUUAUGUAGUUGGAACUGCAGCAGUUGAACUCAACUACACUAAGCCAAACAAAGGAAUUAAGGCUGCACGCAUUUGCAACUCCACUGCAGUUGCAAAUGCGUGCAACCAAACAGCCCCUUAUUGCGUUUCGCAGGCAUAAUCUGGUGGUUAACUUACUAGACUGGUUUCCAAUAGCGAAAAAGAUUAGUGCGGAGGUCCUUCCACGAACACAAAUUGAAACCAAGCACUUGCGUUCAGCUGUUGUUUCCAGCAGUUGUAGCGAAGCCGCUGAAGUCAAUUGUAGGAUCAAUUCAAUGCGAGUUCGGUGGAUUAACAAAAAAAAAAAAAAGAAAAAAAAAAGAAAAAAAAAAAGAAAAGACAAAAUGAUGAAAAAAAGACAAAAUGAUGGCACGAACGGUGAAAAAGAUAUACUAUUAUGUACGGAAGAGAGCUCAUGAGCCGCUUUAGAUUUACAGUUUUUUUUGACAAUUCUAAUAAUAUAUGCUUUUGCCUUCAACUCGUUUAAGUGAACCCCAACCGAACAAACCGGCCCAAGAAAAGGAUAAGCCAAUUCCAUUCAUUGCAUGCAAAAUCACGAGGGUCUACAAUUGAGAUAUGGAGCAGCUUGGACUGGUCAGAUAUAUCAUUGAGGACUACAAAGUACAUCCAUGAGAACUACAACAACUGACACAUUACAACAAUUAUAAGGAAACAAUAGCCCACAUAACGUCGAGAGAGAUAGAGAGAGGAGGGAAAAAAAAGGGAAAGAGAAAAACCCUCUAAAAGAACUCGAAGUCCAGGUACUUGCCUCCGGACUUCACAUCCGCCCCGACCAUCCUCUUACUGCUGCUCCCGCCCGUCCCCUCCGCUGCCGCCCCGGCCUUUGCUAACAGCGGCAGCGGCUCCGCCUCCACCGGCCUCGGCACCUCAGGUGGAGUGCUGCACCGAAUCAGCGCCCAGUUCACCCCCUCAAAGAAUGGAUGCUGUUUUAUCUCCGUCGCCCCCCGCUUCACUCCCAGCCUAUGCUGGGGUUCUUUCACCAAUAAACCCUUGAUCAAAUCGCGGCUCGCGUAACUAGUCGACGGGGCCUCCGGAAACCUAAGCUGCUGACCAACCACAUUGAACAGAGUUGCGCGGUUUCCCGACCCUUUGAAUGGUGUCUUUCCAUACAAGAGCUCGUGAAGAAAAAUCCCGAAGGUCCACCAAUCAACAGCACUGCCGUGGCCUUCGCCUUUGAUUAUUUCGGGGGCGAGGUACUCGUGGGUCCCCACAAAGGACAUUGAUCGCGCGGUCGUUGGUUCGGCCACCAGCUCAGGUAACGCGGAGGGGGACGACGGGCUCCCCUCGGCCCCCCUUGCCUUCCUGGUCUUUAUUUUCUUGCUCUUUUGGUGGAAGAGUUUGGGCAUGAAGCACGAAGGUUGGAUGCAGACGGAUGAUGGCUCGAUGCAGGCGGGUUGGACGCAGAAUGCUCCACCCGCUUGCUUCGGAUCGAGUGACGACGUCUUUAUCAGUGUUGGGGACACCGCACAUCUAAGAGACAGAUCGAAGUCGGAGAGCAUUAUGUGGCCGUCGUCACGAACGAGAACGUUUUCCGGUUUAAGAUCUCUGUAGACCACCCCAAGCAUGUGCAGAUAUUCCAGAGCUAGGAGAACUUCCGCAGCAUAAAAUCUGUCGAGAUGAGAAAGAGAGAGUUUUAAGUUUCAUAAGCAAGGCAAGAGAUUAAGAAGAAAGAAUGCAGUUUUAUUAACUGGUAGAUGAAGAUGAUCACAAAAACCAAGAGGAGGUGGAAUUAAUAAAAAGAAUAUAAGGAGCUGCAUGCCAUAAGACAGAUUUGCUUUCAUUCGCUUUUGCAUGUUGCAACAAGGAGUUUAGUCAAAGAUGGCUAGUGGAACAGUGUAACUAUAUAGCCCCAUUGCAUUCUAAAUAAGCAAGCCUAAAACUACAAGUAUGCGAAGAAAUUUUUAUAAAGAAAUCGACGAACAGAUUUAUGCACUGUUUGAAUUUCGAAUUUAUUCAACAUACAACAAAUUGAUGCAAUACUCCGUUUUUUAUUGCACAAAAGUGUAACCAUAGCUUUGGAAUCGAGCCAUUACUCCUUUUAUUUAUUUACUAGGUUCCUCAGAUUUCCUAAGAAACAAAUCCUACAAGAAAAUUUACAGACAAAAUGGCCAAAAGAGUAGAAACAGACCACAGAAGUAAUACAGCAGUAUAAAGCAGUUCCUUCAUAAAGUCAUAAUUUAUGCUUAGGAAACUCUAUGCUGGAAAAUCUAUAACAUGCAUAGUAAUUUUGCUGUAGUACAACAAACAACAAUUAUGUGUAGCAGGGAUAGUUUACUACAUUCUUUAUUCUUUUGCACAUCCUUUUAGUACAUUUGGUAAGACUUAAGAGAUUCUUUCCUUUCUCGUGAGUAGAAGAUGCUUUACUUUUAUUCCCUUGACUAGAUGUGUCUACUUUAAUUCUUGAUUGACAUACCGUGUACCAAAAGCGAUGAUAUUUUAGACUAAGCAGGUUUUAUGAAUAUUUUUUAUUUUCCUUCUUCCUUUGGUAUUCAUUCAACAGACAUUGACAUUGACAUUGACAAAAAUCUCGGAUGGCACAUGAUCCUGCUCAGUCUUCCUUUUUCUUGCAAAUGCUGCAUGACCAGCAUGUUUACAUAGUACAAGAAUUAUUUCUCCAGAUAUUCGAUGCCCUUGCACAUCUUCCAUUAUAGGGCUACCACUAAACCCCUCCUAGCUGGAAAUUUUUUUUGCCAAGAUCCUUAAGAGCUUCUAAUAUCCAAAUAUGUAUGGCAUUUUCAGGAAUUAUCUAAAUAAGCCACCGAAAUACUAGUAGUCCCCAUGAGAAGCAAAAGCUCCAGAAUGCUGCGCGCAAUUGGAGUCUUAAAAGUUAAAAAUGUUAAAUUUCCUAGCAAUCUGUACAAGAGCUGACCCGCAAACAGAACAGCCAGACUCGAAGAAGAAAAACGGUCAUUCUUCUCCACCGGAUGAGAUUACUAAAAGCAAAGAAGUGGCAAUUCCUCACUUGAGAUUAAAGAUGCUAAAUAUCACGGAACAUCACCUAGACAAACAAAUGGUGCAAUUCAAAAAGACAUCAGCUGUCCCAAGCAUGCCACUGAGUAAUGUUAACAAAAGACUAAGCUUUCCAGCCAACAGACAAAAAAUUCAGCAAACAGUCCAGAAAUUAGAACUAGAAUAACACUUGUUAUGUCUAAAUUAAAAUAAUAAAAAAAAACGAAAGAGCUGGUUGCUGUAAAAUAUUACCUUGCUGCAUAUUCAGAGAAGUGCUUCCCUGGCUGCCGCUGCCUCAGCGUGUGCAAAUCACCGCCAGGACAGAACUCCAUAACUAAACAUGAGAACCUAUCCGUCUCAAAAUGUGUAUACAAUGUCGGAAGGAAUGGGUGAUCCAGAAGCUGGAGUAUCUCUCUCUCAGUCUGAGCCCUAUUUAACUUCUUUCUGCUAGCCAAUGAUGCCUUAUCCAUUACUUUCAUCGCAAAAUAGCACCUUGUUCCACUCAACUCUGACAAGUAAACACUGCCGAUAUCACCGCAGCCAAGCCUUUUAAGCAAUCUAAAAUGGCUCAUUCCCAAUAUACCAUCUCGAGCCCGAACAGCAAGAAUAGCCUUCCACCGUGGGUCGUUUCCCUUGUGGGGCUUAUUAGCACUUCCGGUUACAUUGCUCCAAUUACUAUCGUCACUAAGCCCACUACUAUCGCUUGCUCUACUCAUGCUAGUCUUUGCACUCUCGAGCGAAUCCCCUUUAAAACUACUACCCUUCGUACUCUCGCAAUUCCUCUCCACACUAAGCAUGCCAUCACUAGUAACCCCUUCACUUCUAUACGUACUUGUGCAGCUAUUCACGAUACUCAUAGCGGUCACAACACCAGUUGAAUCAAUACUGCUAUGGGGACUAACAUUCCCACUAGGAGGGAGGGAAGCAUCCCACACACACUCCUUUUCGUCGGAAUCUUGAGGCAAGAAUGCAUUUUCCAUGUUCUGAGAGGGUCGAGGAACAGCGAAAGGAGAAGAUGGCGCGCCCAAUUCACUAGGCUCCUCAAUCAAGCUCUCAGCAGGGGAAGGAACUCCCAACUUUGCUUUCACACCUUGAACUCUAAUCGAAAGAUCUUCUAUGAAAGGACCUUUUACAGAGAGGCCCUUCAUCAAACAGCCGACCUGCGAUUUCUCUUGGUCUAUGGCUACAUACACCGUCUUCAUUAGAUCCAUAUCAAUAGGCUCAGGUGGAUGGCUCGCGCCUGAGAAAGAGCUCCGCCCACCUUCUUCGGACGAAUCGAUGCUCCUAAAGCUUUCUGCCUCGGCAGUCAAGUCCUUGCGUUCUGGAUUCGCGCUCUUCCCUUUCCAUUCUUUUGUAAGAACUGGAAGAUCCAAAUUCUUCACAGCGGAAGCACCUCUAAUACCUCUUAAAUCGGGGGCCUGGGCAAUCGCAGGGAGCUUUACAGGGAGCAUUUUCGGCUCGGGAAUCCUAUCCAUCUCCAUUGAAUCUUUAACAUCACCAAGGUAUAAUUUGUGAAAUUCACAAACUAAUAUUAGCAAAUCUGCCAAAAUUCGCAGUGGAUUUAGACAAACUGGUGCGUUUCUCAAGAUGUUCCUCUCUCAAACCUUAAGGAUUCGUAGUAUUUGUCCAAUUUCUCACGGCUUCAGAGUAAAGGGAACUAUAUACCAAGUAGUAUUACCGCAAGAGCAAGCAAAAUUAGAUUACGAAGCAAGCACCACUUGAUUCCUCCUCUGCAACUCCAGAGACCUACAAAAACCAAGAGAUCAACGCAUUCGAUCAACUCCAACAUCUACAAAACUCUAUCAACUAAGAAAAUCAGCAUAAAUAACGAUAAAUCGCACAAACUCUAACAACUUAUACUCCGAUCCCCGUAAGGAAUCAUACGACAAAAUUGAACAUAAUUCGUCCAAAUCUCCAAAAACAAACAGAAAACAAAGAUUACAACCCGAAAAAUCACCAAAGCACGAAAUCCUGCACAUUCCGAUCUUCUAGAGCAAAGAGGAGCUCUCCUCGGAAGUCGAAAAGUUCCCAAAGGAGAGGAAAAGAAGAACAAUUCCCCGACAAAGACAAAUCCUCGGAUUUCUACAGCACAAAGGAGAUUCGGAACGAAGGAGAAAAAGGAGGAGAACAGAAAUCGCCGCACCUCGCAACAGGGGAAGUGGGAGAUCCCGGAGAAGCUCCUCCGACGCCUAGGGUUUCUGAGUUCCUCUGAUCCUGAUCUAGGGUUUUCCCACUUCCCCGAACCCCACUUCCACCUCCGUCCUCUUCCCCCUUCUUCUCCACAGACACAAGGAAAAGGAAGGGAGAAAAAAGAGGAAAAGAGUGUGGCAGCAGGAGUGUAGAGCGCUGCAACCCGGAUUCUCUUUUUCCCCCUUUUUCCUUUUUUAUUUAUUUUUUCCCUAAUUAUUUUAUUUUACCAUUUCCAUUAAUCAAUUAAUUAGCCGACACUAAUUAACAGUUAGCAGUACUAAUAAUAGUAAGUACUUUAUUAGUCGCGGGAAAUCCAGUGAAGCGGGUUUUGGUCCAAGCGAAUAAAUACCGUGUCCGUACGACGGACACGUGGACCCCGUGCAUUCAACCGUGACAGAGCACCGUUGCACAAAAGAAUUUUCUCGGGGACCGUGGGGCCCACGGGACUUUAUUUUUGUUACGCUUUCACGCUACACUGGAUGACCUGUCACCGUCGCUCAAUGCCAUCUCGGCUUAAUCACCGUCGGAUCUUCAUCGGACGGUGGAAUGUCGAUUGACGCCACAGGAUACUUGUUUGACCACAUGGUCGACUGGGUACGACCAUACGAAGUACAGAUGCAUCCAGGCACAAUUCGAAAAACUUUGUCAAAUUAACUCAUAAUUUUAUCAAAUUUAAUAAAUUAAAUUACUUUAAUACUAAAUAAAAUUUAAAAUCAACAGUUAAUAUCCAAAGGAGUCAUAAAUUUUGGUAAAAUUUUUUAAUUUAAUUAAAAAUAUCAAAACUCAAUUCAAAAAGUUAGAACGUAAAAGAGUGUUAACAAAAAUAAACAAAGUUGAGGUCUCGCUUUCCGAAUAUUAUAUAGUUGAGGGGUCUGCGUGCAUUUUCACCGUGAUGGAGCUCGGCGUGACAAGGGAUCGGAUCCGUUGAUUUGAUCUCUUUGGGUGACGUGGCGCAUCGGAUGGACGGGUGCUAUAAUGGCGUGGUGAUAAAGGGUGGGGACGCGAUGCUGUUUGAUUUGUCCUCGGAAGAGGACAAAGGAGUCAAUUCCUUGUGACUGUUUUUACCCUCGCCCGAUAAACGGUAACGUAUCAUCUCUCUCUCUCCUUCUUUUUGCCCCUCCUUGUGAAAUGAUCCUCUGCAGAUGUGGAUGUACGAAUUUGCUACGAUCUGAUUCUGAAUUUUUCAUUUUAUUGGUCAUUGCCAAUCAUUAAAUUUGAAUAUGUAAAUUUGAAUGAAUAUUUACUCCGAAUUAUCGCAUGUUCACCCUAAUCUCACCGCAUACACUCGUGUGAGUAAUUGUUUUCUUGAACAAAGGUGAAGUGGAAAUUACUUUUAUUGCGCAAUGUUAAUCAAAGUCUUAUUGAGUGCUCAUAAGCCAUUAAUUGCGCAUGUAUUCAUUUCAGUAAAUAAUUUAUCCAAUGGUGACCAAUUUAUUCGGGUUUGUAGGAACUCACAAAGGAUGAAUUUCCCAUUCAAGCUGGAAAGUAAGAGAUAGAUCAACUUCCUCUUGAGGGUUAAUUAUACAUCUCACCUAUUUUGUCGAUAAUUUUAAUUCUAUAAUCCUAAAUCUUUAUGAUCAAUUUAUAAACAUUUAUUCUAUAAAAUCUACAUGGAGAUUUUCUCUUAUAUUAGCUGCUACCAUCCUUUUAGUUUCACAUUUUCCAUUCUUCUAGUGAUGGUUGUUACUCAGUUGCUAAUUUGAGAGUUCAAAGAUUUGAACAUCUACUUGUACGUAUAUAUAUUGAGGCAUUUUAGAUCCUGACUCUUAAAAUUAAGAGAAAACUUAAGAUAUUUUCUACAUGGUUUAUUGUGCGUUUUUAUUUAAGUACUACGUGCCUUUAAUUGUAUCACUUAAAUAUUGUGCAAUUUGUAUUUUUAUUUUUCAUCACUUCCUCUUUUAUUUUUUUUCAGUAAAUUUGUUAUGUGUCAUGCAUGUGUAUUGGAGUUUUCUUUCGUAAAAGAUUAAUAAAAAUCUCAUAGAUUUUUUAGGAUUUAAUCUUAAUUGCUCUUGGUGAGUUCCCCAACGGCGAAAAAGCAACAAUCCACGAAUUCAAGUGUGCAGUAUGUGACUAUUUUAAUAAAGAGCGUAAUGAAAAAUAAGAACACAAAUCAUAAAAAACUUAACUGGUACGGUAAAAAAUAAUAUGAUAUUAAAGUAAAAAAUUAAUAUACCAUGUGGGGCAUGUGAUUUUUUUUCACAAUUUAAUACCCCAGUAUCUGAAACUCUUUUGCCGGCCACUGUCGAUCACCAAAUUCAAUAUAACAGCUUGAAAUUUAAAACAAAUAAUAAUUUUUGAAAAUUAAAUUUAUAGAGUAAUUAGCAGCAUUUUAAGUGGGCAUCUAGAGAUAUCAUGAUCCUACCACCUUGAGGGUGCGUUUGGUUCGCGCUAUCUUUUAAAGAUUCCUAGUAAUCCAAUGGGAAUAAAAAAAUAUGACGGUGUUUGGCUAAACGCACUAAGUAAUCUAGUUGGUAAUAUUGGAUUCACUUGGAAAUAAGAUUCAUCCCAAAGUACUAAUCUCAUUCCCUUGAGGGAGGGUGGAUAUCCUCAUAUUAAUGGAAUGGGGUAAUCAUAAUAUGUCUAAUCUCUUUCUUUCUUCUUACCCGCCGGCUAAUUGAUAUUAUUUUUCUUUACACUCUAACCUUAUAUCUCUCUCUAAACUUAUUUUUCUCUCUAAAAUUCAACUUUUUUUUCUCUCUCUAAACUAAGCUUUCUCUCUCUCUCUCUUUCUAAAAUUUCAACUCUCUUACUCCCUCUAGUUUCGACUAUAUUUUUCUUUCUAUUUUUUUAAUUAUGCUCUCUCUCUCUAACUUAUACUCUCUCUCAUUUUUUUAAAAAAAGAUGUUGAAACUUUUGGUAACAUUAUCUAAAAUUAAUUAAAUAAAUAAAUUAAUUAAUUGUAUAUUUUUUGUAAUAUUAAAUAAUAUGGCUAAUUAAUAUUACCGUGCGAACCAAACACAGGAAUUUCACAUUCUUAGUAAUAGGAUGAAUAGGAAUAAAAUUCUCGGAUAUCUUUUAUUCCCAGUAAUCUUUCAUAAUGCGAACCAAACGCACCGUAAAGAUGAAGUCUACUGUAUCAUAUUUGCACAACAUCAUUAAUAACAAAUCAAUCGUAUCUCUCUAGUUAAGAGAAAAGUAUAAUAAAUUUUUUUUAUUGAUCAUAAUGGAACAUAGAUGAAUAAUUUUAUUAAUCGGUGACAUUAGGUCGGCAAUAUACCAGAUAUAUAUUUAAAUUUUUUUCCACCUCGAAACCACAAUGUAAUAAGAUCCAGCGGGGCGGUAAAUUUGACAACGGUAACAAUCGACGCGGCUAAAAAAGCAAAUCCCGAAUACCAAGGUCCAAUCGAUGCAAUGUCGUGAUUAAAUGAUUAGAUAUAGAUCCUGCUAGAUUUUUCACCUCUAAUUUAGCGACCCUAGGGAUCCUCCCACUGGGUACUACCUAAUUACUUAUUAAUAAAUAAACCACUUUCUUUUUAUAUUAUAUUUAUUUAUUUAAUUUAAUUUUCGGUUGUGAAGGGGCUAUGAAGUAGCUUUUGAAACCUACUUUGAUGGCAUUGGAAUUAGGAAAAAGGUAGGUAGGUCUCUUCAUAUGAGCCUCCUUAAUGAUUCCGCCCCCCACUUUAACGUUCUGAAAAAGCCUGUGGGCUGUUUGGUGGUGGGCCUCUUUAAUCUCCUCAUCUUUUCUCCAUAUGAAGAAUGGCUUUUGGUUUUCUUUGACUGUACCGUUGUGGCCAGUGAAAUUUACAGCAGCUCGUAGGCCCCACAUUUGAGGCUGCCGAGAAGAAAAGGAGAGACAUGUUCUGGUGUUCAGAGCUUGUGGAAACGACUGUUCUUUGUGGUUUUUGAAAAUACUUCUCUAGUGAAUAUAUCAAUUUGAUUUGAUGUAAUUUAGUGUUCAAAAAUUUUAGUUUUUGAGAAGUUUUGUUUAUUUACUUUAGGGUCUCUCUUCGGAAACUUUUUUUAUAAAAAAUCUAGUACUUCUUUCGAGCCAAUUCAAUGUCGAAAGGGAGGGUUAGACAUGUAAUUUACAAAACAUUCUAAAGUGUUGGGAACAAGAUUACAAUGUUGGAUGUAGUCCACUUGAUUUAUUCGAGGUCAUUCAUAAAAAUUAAUGCUGUCGAUUUAUUUAAGACGAUUUAUAGGUACAGUCGACCCAAUAGUUAAAAUGUAUUUGGACAGUUUUUGAUAGACGGACAUGAUUAAAUAUGCUUACAUUAGGUUAUCUGUAUAUAUAUAACAUACGGGAAUCCCAGCCUAACCUUAAUCAAAAUUUUUUGUGACGGCUCCAUCUUCGAAAAAAAGAAAAUAGAUUGGAAACGUCCCGCUCGUUUGCAAAUCAUGAACGAGUAUGAACCACAAGGAAGAAUCGCCGUCUAUAAUCCGUAUUUGAAAAUUAAAAUAUAUACAGUCUAACAUACAAUUAUCAUUU
RNAcentral lists this long non-coding RNA (21609 nucleotides) under Ananas comosus (pineapple). RNAcentral describes it as "long non-coding RNA (ACOM_LNC014231)". Lineage: Eukaryota; Viridiplantae; Streptophyta; Magnoliopsida; Poales; Bromeliaceae. The record is from RNAcentral.